GACAAUUUUCGCUUUAAGAAGUUUAUAUUUCGAGUAGCUUUUUGCUAAAUGAUAAAUAUUUAGUUAGCUUAAUACUCGUAGCCAAGACUGGGAGGUUUAUUGGUCACAGUGUGGCAUGAAUAAAGCCCACGGUUAACUACAGCAGUGAGGAAUAUUGGUCAAUAGCCUAACGGCUGAACCGGCAACUUGGAGGAAUGUAUAGGGAAAACUGGUAAAAUGUGAUGUACCUAGUAAUAUUAGUGAUUAAUAUGAGGCUAACCGAGUUAGUUAAAAUUCUAAGUAUAUAUGUGAUUAUGACAAUAUGUGCUUAUUUCUUGACCAAGUCACGUGCCAGCCGUCGCGGUAAUACGUGGAAGAUCAGUGUUAUUCAUCUUUAUCAGGUUUAAAGGGUACCUAGACGGUUAAUUAAGCUUUAGUAGGAACUAAUUAACUAGAGUUUAAUGUAAGAAUGAUUGAGUACGGUGAGUGUAGAGAUAAAAUUCUGUCAUACCACUUAGGAACUGGUAAAAGCGAAGGCAACUUUCUAUGUAAAAACUGACGUUAAGGGACGAAGGCUCGUAUCAAAUAACAGGAUUAGAUACCCCAGCAUUGUGGGCAGACAAUGAUGAGUGUCAUAUGCAAGAGAUAAAUAUAUAAAAAAAUAUUUUGUGUAUAAAUGAAAGUGUAAGCACUCCACCUCAAGAGUAACGUGGCAACAUGGGAACUGAAAUCAUUAGACCGUUUCUGAAACUCGUAGUGAAGUAUGUUGUUUAAUUAGAUGGUGCACAAAUAACCUUACCACAAUUUGUAUAACUAUAGUACAUAAUAAUAAUAUAGUUACAAGCGUUGCACGGCUGUCUUUAGUCUAUGUUGUGAAACUGUGGUUAGAUCCAUUAAAUAGACGUAAACCCUUACUUUAUUUAUUAUAAAGUAGUUCGCCGCUAUAUUGGUAGUGAUAUAAGGGACUAGGACAAGUCAUCA
Molecule: ribosomal RNA, 960 nt
Filed under: Diploschistes diacapsis
Lineage: Eukaryota; Fungi; Ascomycota; Lecanoromycetes; Ostropales; Graphidaceae
Description: SSU rRNA
Rfam family: Bacterial small subunit ribosomal RNA
Source: RNAcentral